AUGGCUGUCGUCAGCUCGUGUCGUGAGAUGUUGGGUUAAGUCCCGCAACGAGCGCAACCCCUACUGUGUGUUGUAUCACUCACACGGGACUGCCGAGAGAAACUCGGAGGAAGGUGGGGAUGACGUCAAGUCAGCAUGGCCCUUACGUCCUGGGCUACACCCACGCUACAAUGGCCGGUACAACGGGCGGCAAAACCGCGAGGUGGAGCAAAUCCCUUAAAGCCGGUCUCAGUUCGGAUUGUAGGCUGCAACUCGCCUGCAUGAAGCCGGAGUUGCUAGUAACCGCCGGUCAGCAUACGGCGGUGAAUAUGUUCCCGGGCCUUGUACACACCGCCCGUCACACCACGAAAGUCGGCAAUACCCGAAGCCGGUGGCCCAACUCGCAAGAGGGGGAGCCGUCGAAGGUGGGACUGGCGAUUGGGACUAAGUCGUAACAAGGUAGCCGUACCGGAAGGUGCGGCUGGAUCACCUCCUUUCUAAGGAGCACUGGCACCCCUUGGGGUGUCCAGGUAGCCCGCCGCAGCCUUGUUGUGUUGUGGGGGUUGCUCACGGGUGGAUCAUCGAUUAUUUGGCGCCGCGCAGUGGUGGUGGUUUGCAAGUACUGGCUUCUUGUCCUUCGGGGUAGGGGCCGUGGAAAGCGCCGCGACCGGUGGGUGGUGUCUGGCACGUUGUUGGGUCCUGAGGGCUCGGGCGCAAGCUCGGUGUUUUCAGUGGGCCUCACCUGUUCCCGUACCACCUGUCCUGCCUUUUUGUGGGGGUGGGGUUGGCGGGGGCCAGUUGGUGAUGGUGCCGCCCGUAUGUUGAGAACUACACAGUGGACGCGAGCAUCUUUGUGGCCAAGUUUUUAAGGGCGCACGGUGGAUGCCUUGGUACCAGGAACCGGAGAAGGACGUAGGAAUCUGCGAUAAGCCACGGGGAGUCGAUAACCAGACUGUGAUCCGUGGAUUUCCGAAUGGGGAAACCCGG
RNAcentral lists this small RNA (966 nucleotides) under uncultured Chloroflexota bacterium. RNAcentral describes it as "bacterial SSU rRNA". The stretch from base 1 to 476 matches the Rfam family "Bacterial small subunit ribosomal RNA", at positions 1045 to 1533 of the family's 1533-position model. Lineage: Bacteria; Bacillati; Chloroflexota. The record is from RNAcentral.